Wyeomyia smithii (pitcher-plant mosquito) is the source of this 566-nucleotide long non-coding RNA. RefSeq lists it as uncharacterized. The transcript is spliced from 3 exons. Lineage: Eukaryota; Metazoa; Arthropoda; Insecta; Diptera; Culicidae. The record is from RefSeq and is a predicted model, not a curated record.
UGAAUUUGUCCAAUGAAUUUCACGUACCAAAAGAUCUCUCAAUUUUAUAUGAUUCCAUUAGAAAUCCAUUUAUAAAUUGAAUGUGAUACAAUGAAUUUUACGAAUCACACAAUGAAAUAAUUAUUAUCGGAUUUUCACAUCCAUUUUAUUUGAUAUUCAUUUACGUCUAACAUGUGCCGCAAAAAUUUGAAUUUACGGAAAUAUUGCGGAAUACAUUUUAUAAAGUAAAUAUAUAAAACCGCCAUGUUUCGAAACCAACAUAAAUCUUAUUGAUAAAUCUAAUGAAAAACACACGUCGCCGCACUUCUUGUCAGUUUACUUGUGAAAUUUUGUUUUGACGUUUGGAUUUGGUAUCGAAUAAUCCAGAUGGUUAUCAAAAUGGCUACACCACGAAAAGACGGCGUCUUAUUGGGCGAUUGGAAGGAUAUUUGCUUAUCUCCAAUGGAUCGCACCGAAGAAAUUGGCACUUAUCAAAUCGUAGGACAAACAACGAACAGAUAAUUGGAACUGGGAUCAAGUGGCCAACGUUGAACCGGAUUGCCGUUUAACAGUCAACAACCAAGUAC